Molecule: transfer RNA, 92 nt
Filed under: Clostridiaceae bacterium
Lineage: Bacteria; Bacillati; Bacillota; Clostridia; Eubacteriales; Clostridiaceae
Description: tRNA-Ser
Rfam family: tRNA
About the family: Transfer RNA (tRNA) molecules are approximately 80 nucleotides in length.
Source: RNAcentral
GGAGGGAUACCCAAGUGGCUGAAGGGGCUCCCCUGCUAAGGGAGUAGCAUGUGAUGAGCGUGGCUCGGGUUCAAAUCCCGAUCCCUCCGCCA